CGGGUGAGUAACGCGUGGGUAACCUGCCCCAUACUGGGGGAUAAUGGUUAGAAAUGACCGCUAAUACCGCUUAAGCGCGCGAGGCCGCAUGGCCGCGCGCGAAAAACUCCGGUGGUAUGGGAUGGGCCCGCGUCUGAUUAGGUAGUUGGCGGGGUAAGGGCCCACCAAGCCGACGAUCAGUAGCCGACCUGAGAGGGUGGCCGGCCACAUUGGGACUGAGACACGGCCCAAACUCCUACGGGAGGCAGCAGUGGGGAAUAUUGCGCAAUGGGGGAAACCCUGACGCAGCAACGCCGCGUGAGUGAGGAAGUAUCUCGGUAUGUAAAGCUCUAUCAGCGGGGAAGAAAGAGGACGGUACCCGACUAAGAAGCCCCGGCUAACUACGUGCCAGCAGCCGCGGUAAUACGUAGGGGGCGAGCGUUAUCCGGAUUUACUGGGUGUAAAGGGAGCGUAGACGGCGUCGCAAGUCUGAAGUGAAAGCCCGUGGCUCAACCGCGGAACCGCUUUGGAAACUGCGAGGCUGGAGUGCUGGAGAGGUAAGCGGAAUUCCUGGUGUAGCGGUGAAAUGCGUAGAUAUCAGGAGGAACACCGGUGGCGAAGGCGGCUUACUGGACAGUGACUGACGUUGAGGCUCGAAAGCGUGGGGAGCGAACAGGAUUAGAUACCCUGGUAGUCCACGCGGUAAACGAUGAGUGCUAGGUGUCGGGGGGGCAAAGCCCCUCGGUGCCGCCGCUAACGCAAUAAGCACUCCACCUGGGGAG
Molecule: ribosomal RNA, 761 nt
Filed under: uncultured bacterium
Lineage: Bacteria
Description: bacterial SSU rRNA
Rfam family: Bacterial small subunit ribosomal RNA
Source: RNAcentral